This 700-nucleotide ribosomal RNA is filed under the name Monistria discrepans. Its description in RNAcentral is "partial 16S ribosomal RNA". It matches the Rfam family "Bacterial large subunit ribosomal RNA", at positions 1680 to 2742 of the family's 2925-position model. The record is from RNAcentral. Lineage: Eukaryota; Metazoa; Arthropoda; Insecta; Orthoptera; Pyrgomorphidae.
UCGUGGGCUCGGAGAAGUUAUAUUAAGGAAUUCGGCAAAUUAAUCCUUCGCCUGUUUAACAAAAACAUGUCUUUUUGAUAAAUAAUUUAAAGUUUGACCUGCUCACUGAUAAAUUUAAAGAGCCGCGGUAUAUUGACCGUGCAAAGGUAGCAUAAUCAUUAGUCUUUUAAUUGAAGGCUGGAAUGAAUGGUUUGACGAGGGGAUGACUGUCUUGGUUUAAAUUAAUAAAAUUUAACUUUUAAGUUAAAAGGCUUAAAUAUUCUUUUAGGACGAAAAGACCCUAUAGAUCUUGAUAAAUUAAUUAAAAUUAAUUUGAUGAUAAUUUAUUUUAAUAAUUAUUUAGUUUAUUUUGUUGGGGUGACAUAAAGAAUUAAUAAACUCUUUAUAUAAUAAAUCAUUGAUUUAUGUUUAUUUGAUCCAUAAUUUUUGAUUAUAAGAUUAAGUUACCUUAGGGAUAACAGCGUAAUUAUUUUUGAGAGCUCUUAUCAAUAAAAUAGAUUGCGACCUCGAUGUUGGAUUAAGAUAAGUAUUAAGUGUAUCAGCUUGAUAACUAGGUCUGUUCGACCUUUAAAUUCUUACAUGAUCUGAGUUCAGACCGGCGUGAGCCAGGUCGGUUUCUAUCCUAAAUUAUUUAUUUUGUAUUAGUACGAAAGGACCAUAUAAUUGAAAUAUUUUUUUAUGUAUGAUUACAAAUAAUAAU